AUUGAACGCUGGCGGCAUGCUUUACACAUGCAAGUCGAACGGCAGCGCGGGCUUCGGCCUGGCGGCGAGUGGCGAACGGGUGAGUAAUGCAUCGGAACGUGCCCAGUAGUGGGGGAUAGCCCGGCGAAAGCCGGAUUAAUACCGCAUACGACCUGAGGGUGAAAGCGGGGGACCGAAAGGCCUCGCGCUAUUGGAGCGGCCGAUGUCGGAUUAGCUAGUUGGUGGGGUAAAGGCUUACCAAGGCGAUGAUCCGUAGCUGGUCUGAGAGGACGACCAGCCACACUGGGACUGAGACACGGCCCAGACUCCUACGGGAGGCAGCAGUGGGGAAUUUUGGACAAUGGGGGCAACCCUGAUCCAGCCAUGCCGCGUGCGGGAAGAAGGCCUUCGGGUUGUAAACCGCUUUUGUUCGGGAAGAAAUCCUCUGGGCUAAUACCCCGGGGGGAUGACGGUACCGGAAGAAUAAGCACCGGCUAACUACGU
RNAcentral lists this ribosomal RNA (483 nucleotides) under uncultured bacterium. RNAcentral's name for it is "partial 16S ribosomal RNA". It matches the Rfam family "Bacterial small subunit ribosomal RNA", at positions 28 to 506 of the family's 1533-position model. The record is from RNAcentral.